Molecule: unclassified non-coding RNA, 434 nt
Filed under: Senecio depressicola
Lineage: Eukaryota; Viridiplantae; Streptophyta; Magnoliopsida; Asterales; Asteraceae
Description: partial contains external transcribed spacer and 18S ribosomal RNA
Rfam family: Eukaryotic small subunit ribosomal RNA (bases 371-434)
Source: RNAcentral
CAACUUCCACCUGGCUUACCUCCNUCAGUUAUGCGUCAUGACUUGUAUCGUCUUGAGCGUAUUGUGGGUUUCCUGUGUUGCAUACCUUUCUAAUGGUAUCGUGYUGAUUGAUCGAAGUCCCUUUUCAUCUUGUGUUGCUUUUUGUGACGCAUGAUGAACAUCGAGGCGGUCUCUAUGUUCCACCACGUUGAUGCUACUGUUUCAAUGUUGUGGCCCAUUGAGCGUUGCUUGGUUUCGUGGAUACAGAACAUGAUUUGGGCAUAGGGUUACUUGUGACUCUUGUUCUGUCCUUUAUCAGUGUUCUUUAUAACGACGGUUCAUGCGCGCCUAGGCUCGUACCUGCGCGAUGUUCUUUGUCGAAGAGGAAUGCUACCUGGUUGAUCCUGCCAGUAGUCAUAUGCUUGUCUCAAAGAUUAAGCCAUGCAUGUGUAAGU